This 591-nucleotide unclassified non-coding RNA is filed under the name Hevea brasiliensis (rubber tree). Lineage: Eukaryota; Viridiplantae; Streptophyta; Magnoliopsida; Malpighiales; Euphorbiaceae. The record is from RNAcentral.
AAGCCGAGCUGCCACAAUGUUGACAGCUUGGUGCCGCAGCAUGUCCUGCUGCAUCACAGUCAAUGGCCUUACAUAAUGCAUCUUUGGUAGAAGGGGCCGUGCGUAUAGAAACAUUAUGUUUGCCAUUGAUGUGUAUGAAAAUCGUAUUGCCAGAUGUAAUUCGCCCAUCUUCUUGACACCAGAAGGGUGGAGCACUAGUAGUGGAUAAGAGUGUGUAUAAACGCAGCCACUUUCUAGAGUGGAGAGUCGUAUCCGAACCUUACCAAUUUUUAUGUCCCUGUUACCAUUUGAACCACCAAUCUGGCUGUUAUCAAAAACUCCCACAGUAAGAACUGUUGCAGGAUCGUACACCUCCCAAGUGUAUUGCUCAUUGUAUUUUGGGCUAAGGCUGUUGAUAAUGGUUCGUGUCCUAACCCAUUUGUGACCAUACUUCGCUACGCAAUAUGUAUCUGAUGUACCUUUUCCAUCCCUUGUUUUCAUCGGGUGAAGCCCAUCAGCAUUUAGAACACCAAGCUCUAACACACCUAUUGAUGGCUUCCAAAGCUGCUUUGCUGUUGGUCGAAGAUCACUACUGUAGUGAGUUGACUCAUC